Molecule: ribosomal RNA, 120 nt
Filed under: Marasmius nigrodiscus
Lineage: Eukaryota; Fungi; Basidiomycota; Agaricomycetes; Agaricales; Marasmiaceae
Description: partial 28S ribosomal RNA
Rfam family: Eukaryotic large subunit ribosomal RNA
Source: RNAcentral
ACCCGCUGAACUUAAGCAUAUCAAUAAGCGGAAGAAAAGAAACUAACAAGGAUUCCCCUAGUAACUGCGAGUGNANAGGGAAAAGCUCAAAUUUAAAAUCUGGCAGCUUCGCUGUCCGAG